CCAACACCUCAAAGAUUCUGAUAAACAUUGUAAUCUAUUCAUCUGUUUAUGAAGGUAUUUAUUUCAAUUUUCAACUCUCUCUCUCUCUCUCCCCCUUUGCUUCUCUCUCCUGAAUUUCACAUACAAUCUAAAAUAUCUAAUAUUCACAGACACCUUUAAGUUCAAAAAUUUCCCCUAAUAGUACUCAAAGUCAAAGUAGCCUCAAGCAUACUAGUAAUUUUUUUUAUAGAAGCUUUAUCUGUUUAUAAAUCUUGAUUGAAACUUUUUCUUUAUCCCAUCAAGCUCAUGUUUUAUAAUUUUUUUUUGUGUUUUAUUUUGAAAACGUGGCAGGAGCCUUAUGGUCCACAUAUCGUGGAGAGCUUUUUCUUGAAAGAAGAUGAAAGGUAAAAUAGGUAAACUAUAUUUUUUCCACAAGGUUAAAGCAGUAUCUUUAAGAAGACAACACUUGUGGUUUCUUCACGUCACCCUCACUGUUAGUAGAAACUGGCGGACAUGGUAGUUUCUAACUUUGCUACUAUCCCACAUAAAUGAGUAAAUUUGUUGUUUUCCUUCUCAUUUGAUAUCCUUGACAUUAGUUCUAUUUCGCAUGAUAAUGUCCACUGGGGCAAGCUGAUAAGCUACUUCCUUAAAGAAAGUGGAAGAGAACUUGCUAAAAGAUCCUCUCAAAGCAUAUUCAUCGGACUGCAAAAGCCACAUUUCCUGAAAAUCCACUCUAUGUAUAGCUGUUAUAAUGCUGAGAUUUUUUUUCUUCCAUAUAAAUGAGUCUUUAUGCUCUCCAUUGGAGAAGUGGUUCUAUAUCCCCCACUAUGUCCCCUUUCUUCAACUCAUCUCAGCUGAGUAAUUUCAGUAUAGUGAUCAUUAAUCUUGUGUGGAUGUUGAUACCUCACUUGUAUUUUUGUUUUUCUACAAAAGU
This 913-nucleotide long non-coding RNA is filed under the name Panax ginseng (ginseng). Its description in RNAcentral is "long non-coding RNA (PGIN_LNC005586)". The record is from RNAcentral. Lineage: Eukaryota; Viridiplantae; Streptophyta; Magnoliopsida; Apiales; Araliaceae.